GAUGAACGCUGGCGGCGUGCCUGAUACAUGCAAGUAGAACGCUGAAGCUUGGUGCUUGCACCGAGCGGAUGAGUUGCGAACGGGUGAGUAACGCGUAGGUAACCUGCCUCUUAGCGGGGGAUAACUAUUGGAAACGAUAGCUAAUACCGCAUAAAAGACGAUAUCGCAUGAUAUUGAUUUGAAAGGUGCAAAUGCAUCACUAAGAGAUGGACCUGCGUUGUAUUAGCUAGUUGGUGAGGUAACGGCUCACCAAGGCAACGAUACAUAGCCGACCUGAGAGGGUGAUCGGCCACACUGGGACUGAGACACGGCCCAGACUCCUACGGGAGGCAGCAGUAGGGAAUCUUCGGCAAUGGGGGCAACCCUGACCGAGCAACGCCGCGUGAGUGAAGAAGGUUUUCGGAUCGUAAAGCUCUGUUGUAAGAGAAGAACGAGUGUGAGAGUGGAAAGUUCACACUGUGACG
This 464-nucleotide ribosomal RNA is filed under the name Streptococcus parasanguinis. Its description in RNAcentral is "bacterial SSU rRNA". It matches the Rfam family "Bacterial small subunit ribosomal RNA", at positions 28 to 474 of the family's 1533-position model. The record is from RNAcentral. Lineage: Bacteria; Bacillati; Bacillota; Bacilli; Lactobacillales; Streptococcaceae.